This 602-nucleotide ribosomal RNA is filed under the name Acremonium sp. P42E5. RNAcentral's name for it is "eukaryotic LSU rRNA". The stretch from base 216 to 369 matches the Rfam family "5.8S ribosomal RNA". Lineage: Eukaryota; Fungi; Ascomycota; Sordariomycetes; Hypocreales; Bionectriaceae. The record is from RNAcentral.
UAGAGGAAGUAAAAGUCGUAACAAGGUCUCCGUUGGUGAACCAGCGGAGGGAUCAUUACCGAGUGUAAAAACUCCCAAACCAUUGUGAACCUACCACUGUUGCUUCGGCGGCCUCGCCCCGGGCGCGUUCGCGCGGCCCGGACCCAGGCGUCCGCCGGAGGCUCCAAACUCUUGUCUUUUAGUGUAUUUCUGAGUGGCAUAAGCAAAUAAAUCAAAACUUUCAGCAACGGAUCUCUUGGUUCUGGCAUCGAUGAAGAACGCAGCAAAAUGCGAUAAGUAAUGUGAAUUGCAGAAUUCAGUGAAUCAUCGAAUCUUUGAACGCACAUUGCGCCCGCCAGUAUUCUGGCGGGCAUGCCUGUCUGAGCGUCAUUUCAACCCUCAGGACCCGUUCGCGGGACCUGGCGUUGGGGAUCAGCCUGCCCCUGGCGGCGGCUGGCCCUGAAAUCCAGUGGCGGUUCCCUCGCGAACUCCUCCGUGCAGUAAUUAAACCUCUCGCGGCAGGAUAGCGGUUGAACCACGCCGUUAAACCCCCCACUUCUCAAGGUUGACCUCAGAUCAGGUAGGAAUACCCGCUGAACUUAAGCAUAUCAAUAAGCGGAGGA